CCUACGGGAGGCAGCAGUGGGGGAUAUUGCACAAUGGGGGGAACCCUGAUGCAGCGACGCCACGUGGGUGAAGAAGCGCCUCGGCGCGUAAAGCCCUGUCAGCAGGGAAGAAAAUGACGGUACCUGAAGAAGAAGCCCCGGCUAACUACGUGACAGCAGCCGCGGUAAUACGUAGGGGGCAAGCGUUAUCCGGAUUUACUGGGGGUAAGGGGGGCGCAGACGGCGUUGCAAGCCAGGAGUGAAAGCCCGGGGCCCAACCCCGGGACUGCACUUGGAACUGCGUGGCUGGAGUGCAGGAGGGGCAGGCGGAAUUCCUGGUGUAGCGGUGAAAUGCGUAGAGAUCAGGAGGAACACCGGUGGCGAAGGCGACCUGCUGGAACAUUACUGACGCUGAUGCACGAAAGCGUGGGGAGCAAACAGGAUUAGAUACCCGAGUAGUC
RNAcentral lists this ribosomal RNA (440 nucleotides) under uncultured bacterium. RNAcentral describes it as "partial 16S ribosomal RNA". It matches the Rfam family "Bacterial small subunit ribosomal RNA", at positions 338 to 795 of the family's 1533-position model. The record is from RNAcentral.